Molecule: ribosomal RNA, 196 nt
Filed under: uncultured Bacillus sp.
Lineage: Bacteria; Bacillati; Bacillota; Bacilli; Caryophanales; Bacillaceae
Description: partial 16S ribosomal RNA
Rfam family: Bacterial small subunit ribosomal RNA
Source: RNAcentral
UCCUACGGAGGCAGCAGUAGGGAAUCUUCCGCAAUGGACGAAAGUCUGACGGAGCAACGCCGCGUGAGUGAUGAAGGCUUUCGGGUCGUAAAACUCUGUUGUUAGGGAAGAACAAGUGCUAGUUGAAUAAGCUGGCACCUUGACGGUACCUAACCAGAAAACCACGGCUAACUACGUGCCAGCAGCCGCGGUAAUA